Molecule: unclassified non-coding RNA, 957 nt
Filed under: Hevea brasiliensis (rubber tree)
Lineage: Eukaryota; Viridiplantae; Streptophyta; Magnoliopsida; Malpighiales; Euphorbiaceae
Source: RNAcentral
AAUAAAUCAAGUGUCCUUAAGUGUGCUGAGGUCAUCUUUAGUUGAGGUGUUCCUUCAGCAGUCCAAUUUGACUUUGACAACCUCAAUUUUUGGGCAGCCUUCUAUGUUUGAGAUUUUGAGNUUCCUGGGGGUAUCACUGUAAUCCCUGUGCCCUAUGCUUCCUUUUGGCAGAUGCCCCAGAUCCUCUUUAAUUUUACCCUCAAUAAUUCAUUAGCUGAAAUACUGGAUAAUCUCACUGAGUUAAGGGACCAAUUGAAGUUUGGAUUGCAUUUGAGGCCUUAUGAGAAUGUAGUUGUGCAAAUAACAAACGUGGCUGGCUCCACGAUAAAUGCCCCAGUCACUGUUCAGGCUUCUGUCAUAUCAGACCUAGGGAGCCUUCUGCCACAGAGAUUGAAACAGUUGGCUCAAACAAUCACAGAUUCUCCCUCAAAGAAUCUUGGCCUUGAUAACUCAGUUUUUGGUAAAGUAAAGAGUGUUAUUUUAUCAUCAUAUUUAAAAGGUACACUUCAUGCAAACCCUCCAACUCCUUCACCUGCUCCAUCUCCAGAGCCCAGCGAUUAUGCUGAACCUCCAAUUUCCCCAUGUCCUACUUCUUGUCCAUCACCCCUUCCAGCGUCCUCUCCAUCAGAUGAUAGUCCUUCACAUGCAACAAGCCCAAAAAGUGGGCCACACCAUUCUUCACCUCCUGUAAAUUCUCCAGCACCUUCUGUGGUAACAGCUAAUCCUCGAGCUCGUCACCCUUCUGGACACCAUGGUUCUCCAAUAUCUCCAAGCUCAUCACCAUCUUAUUCUAACCGAAGUCCUUACUUACGUCCAGUGGAUCCCCCAUCACAACUGCCCACGGAUCACUCUCCUUUACCUCAAGUAUCCUAUGGUUCCACACCAACCAAAGGUCCAGUAUCUCAAUCACUUGCUCCAUCUCCAUCUUCACCAUCUCCAUCAUCCGUAUCAGCAAGU